CAGCAGCCGCGGUAAUACGGAGGGUGCAAGCGUUAAUCGGAAUUACUGGGCGUAAAGCGCACGCAGGCGGUUUGUUAAGUCAGAUGUGAAAUCCCCGAGCUUAACUUGGGAACUGCAUUUGAAACUGGCAAGCUAGAGUCUUGUAGAGGGGGGUAGAAUUCCAGGUGUAGCGGUGAAAUGCGUAGAGAUCUGGAGGAAUACCGGUGGCGAAGGCGGCCCCCUGGACAAGGACUGACGCUCAGGUGCGAAAGCGUGGGGAGCAAACAGGAUUAGAUACCCGAGUAGUCCCUGUCUCUUAUAC
Molecule: ribosomal RNA, 301 nt
Filed under: uncultured bacterium
Lineage: Bacteria
Description: partial 16S ribosomal RNA
Rfam family: Bacterial small subunit ribosomal RNA
Source: RNAcentral